UCCUGAGAAGGCUGACAAGUUGAAGCAAUCUCUUCCUCCAGGUAUAGGGACAUUCUGUCUUUAAUUGCUGUUUAUAUGUUGUGUCAUUUUUGAAUUACUCCACUUUGUUUUGAUCGAAGGCUAUCCAUGUCAAUAACCAAUCAUCUUGGCUAUCCAUGUCAAUAACCAAUCAUCUUUUACAUGCGUUUCGCACCUCUAAUGAUCUAAACUACAAUCAUGUACUUUUUGCUAGAUAUCAAUUUGAUUCCUUUUUUAUUUUAAUUAAUAAUAUCUCUCUUGCUCGUGCUCAAGAUUUUUGAGAUAAAAUUAAGAACCCAACAAUUUCUUUACUCCCUUUCCCCCUUCUAUUUGAAUUAUUAAAUCCUUGAAAAGGAUUGAUUGUGUAGUCUGUGUGAUUUAUUUUAGGUGACUGCUCACUACUUGGUUCAAACGUUC
Molecule: long non-coding RNA, 435 nt
Filed under: Populus trichocarpa (black cottonwood)
Lineage: Eukaryota; Viridiplantae; Streptophyta; Magnoliopsida; Malpighiales; Salicaceae
Description: long non-coding RNA (PTRI_LNC002116)
Source: RNAcentral